Molecule: non-coding RNA, 81 nt
Filed under: Kushneria sp.
Lineage: Bacteria; Pseudomonadati; Pseudomonadota; Gammaproteobacteria; Oceanospirillales; Halomonadaceae
Description: Fluoride sequence
Rfam family: Fluoride riboswitch aptamer (crcB RNA motif)
Source: RNAcentral
AUUGAUAAGGGAGAUGGCAUGCCUCCCGAAUGCGCCCGUAUUCAAACCAUCACGUCCGUGAUUGAUGAUGCCUGCAGUACG